Molecule: unclassified non-coding RNA, 334 nt
Filed under: soil metagenome
Description: partial contains 5.8S ribosomal RNA, internal transcribed spacer 2, and large subunit ribosomal RNA
Rfam family: 5.8S ribosomal RNA (bases 1-120)
Source: RNAcentral
GAUGAAGAACGCAGCGAAAUGCGAUAAGUAAUGUGAAUUGCAGAAUUCAGUGAAUCAUCGAAUCUUUGAACGCACAUCGCGCCCGCCAGUAUUCUGGCGGGCAUGCCUGUUCGAGCGUCAUUUCAACCAUCAAGCCCCAGGCUUGUGUUGGAGCCCUGCGGCUGCCGCAGCCUCCCAAAACCAGUGGCGGGCUCGCUAUCACACCGAGUGCAGUAGUUUACUCUUCGCUCAGGGCGUGUGGCGGGUGCUAGCCGUAAAACCCCCAACUUCUCAAGGUUGACCUCGGAUCAGGUAGGAAUACCCGCUGAACUUAAGCAUAUCAAUAAGCGGAGGA